Molecule: ribosomal RNA, 139 nt
Filed under: Rhysodesmus zapotecus
Lineage: Eukaryota; Metazoa; Arthropoda; Diplopoda; Polydesmida; Xystodesmidae
Description: partial small subunit ribosomal RNA
Source: RNAcentral
AAGGUGGAUUUAUGAGUAAUUAUGUUUUAUUAAUAGGUGAUGAAGUAUGGAAUGACACGUGUACAUAUUGCCCGUCGCUCUCGUGAUUGAUUGAGAUAAGUCGUAACAUAGUUGGUUUACUGGAAAGUGAAUCUUUUUU